GUCCAUCCGAGCAUGCCCAAUCUCAUAUGAUCUUGGAAGCUAGGCAGGCUCCGGUUUAGUUAGUACUAGGUUGGGAGACCAUCCCCAUGGAGGGCAUAACCUGGACC
This 107-nucleotide ribosomal RNA is filed under the name Mus caroli (Ryukyu mouse). Its description in RNAcentral is "rRNA (MGP_CAROLIEiJ_G0034266.1)". Lineage: Eukaryota; Metazoa; Chordata; Mammalia; Rodentia; Muridae. The record is from RNAcentral.